This 905-nucleotide ribosomal RNA is filed under the name Paracamarosporium hawaiiense. RNAcentral describes it as "eukaryotic LSU rRNA". It matches the Rfam family "Eukaryotic large subunit ribosomal RNA", at positions 46 to 968 of the family's 3401-position model. The record is from RNAcentral. Lineage: Eukaryota; Fungi; Ascomycota; Dothideomycetes; Pleosporales; Didymosphaeriaceae.
AUAAGCGGAGGAAAAGAAACCAACAGGGAUUGCCCUAGUAACGGCGAGUGAAGCGGCAACAGCUCAAAUUUGAAAUCUGGCUCUCUUUGGGGGUCCGAGUUGUAAUUUGCAGAGGAUGCUUUGGCAUUGGCGGCGGUCUAAGUUCCUUGGAACAGGACAUCGCAGAGGGUGAGAAUCCCGUACGUGGGCGCCUGCCUUUGCCGUGUAAAGCUCCUUCGACGAGUCGAGUUGUUUGGGAAUGCAGCUCUAAAUGGGAGGUAAAUUUCUUCUAAAGCUAAAUACCGGCCAGAGACCGAUAGCGCACAAGUAGAGUGAUCGAAAGAUGAAAAGUACUUUGGAAAGAGAGUCAAAAAGCACGUGAAAUUGUUGAAAGGGAAGCGCUUGCAGCCAGACUUGCCCGCAGUUGCUCACCUAGGCUUUGGCCUGGGGCACUCUUCUGCGGGCAGGCCAGCAUCAGUUUGGGCGGUUGGAUAAAGGCCUCUGUCACGUAUCUUCCUUCGGGAUGACCUUAUAGGGGAGGCGUAAUGCAACCAGCCCGGACUGAGGUCCGCGCAUCUGCUAGGAUGCUGGCGUAAUGGCUGUAAGCGGCCCGUCUUGAAACACGGACCAAGGAGUCUAACAUCUAUGCGAGUGUUUGGGUGUCAAGCCCGGGCGCGCAAUGAAAGUGAACGGAGGUGGGAACCCUUUGGGUGCACCAUCGACCGAUCCUGAUGUCUUCGGAUGGAUUUGAGUAAGAGCAUAGCUGUUGGGACCCGAAAGAUGGUGAACUAUGCUUGAAUAGGGUGAAGCCAGAGGAAACUCUGGUGGAGGCUCGCAGCGGUUCUGACGUGCAAAUCGAUCGUCAAAUUUGGGCAUAGGGGCGAAAGACUAAUCGAACCAUCUAGUAGCUGGUUCCUGCCGAAGUU